RNAcentral lists this long non-coding RNA (516 nucleotides) under Rosa chinensis. RNAcentral describes it as "sRNA RchiOBHm_Chr6g0298711". Lineage: Eukaryota; Viridiplantae; Streptophyta; Magnoliopsida; Rosales; Rosaceae. The record is from RNAcentral.
CUCUUGAACAAACAUGUUAAGGUGCUAAGAAAAGUGCAUCAAACAUAAUAUUUACAUCAAAGUCAUACAAAAUUGGCUAGGGCUUUCAACUCUAGCCCCAACAAACUAACUACUCACUCAUAAUCAAAUACAUAAGCUUCAACAUGUUUAUGAACAUCAAACUAAAAAAUAGGGAUAGAGAAGUGACUAGUGAUGAUCAAAAUGAGGAUAGUGUAGAUGAACUCAUGGAAGUUUUGUCAUGGUGAUGAUGAUUCCUCAAGUGAUGCUAGACUCCUCUCAUUCUUCUUCAAAGAUUGGUGAUGGAAUAUGAGAUGUAGAAAUAAUCAAGUGGUGAAAUAGUAGAAUUGUGAAGCUUUAUGUAUAUGAAAUAGAAUGGUUAGAUGGAAAAGAUGAUGAAUUUGGUGGUGGUGAUAGUGGAGGUUAUGAAUAUAUGGUGGUGGUGAUGGAGAGAAAAACAUGUAAUGGAGUGGUAUGGGUGAUGCCUUCAGAGUUUGAUGAAGGGAUGCUUAUAUAGAG